CAAUAGCGUAUAUUUAAGUUGCUGCAGUUAAAAAGCUCGUAGUUGGAUUUCGGGUGGGAAUGGCCGGUCCGCCGUUUCGGUGUGCACUUGCUACGCCCACCUUGCUGCCGGGGACGUGCUCUUGAGUUCACGCUCGGGACACGGAGUCGGCGAGGUUACUUUGAGUAAAUUAGAGUGUUCAAAGCAGGCCUACGCUCUGAAUACAUUAGCAUGGAAUAACACGAUAGGACUCUGGCCUAUCUUGUUGGUCUGUAGGACCGGAGUAAUGAUUAAGAGGGACAGUCGGGGGCAUUCGUAUUUCAUUGUCAGAGGUGAAAUUCUUGGAUUUAUGAAAGACGAACUACUGCGAAAGCAUUUGCCAAGGAUGGUUUCGUUAA
Molecule: ribosomal RNA, 377 nt
Filed under: uncultured eukaryote
Lineage: Eukaryota
Description: partial 18S ribosomal RNA
Rfam family: Eukaryotic small subunit ribosomal RNA
Source: RNAcentral